Molecule: long non-coding RNA, 1078 nt
Organism: Hirundo rustica (Barn swallow)
Lineage: Eukaryota; Metazoa; Chordata; Aves; Passeriformes; Hirundinidae
Exons: 5
Source: RefSeq, a predicted model, not a curated record
GGGGGUUUCAAGCUGCAUGCUGAGGUCAAGACUCAAGUUCCUGAAGGUAGUUGAGUGCCGUUGUGUUCAGGAAAAGUUUCAUGCCUGUCUGUCAAGGUGAUUUUCUUUCAUGAAUGCUGGAGAGAGGGCUGAAUACCUAGCCAUACAGUUAAAAUACCAUAGUUCUAUUGUGCAUGAAGAACAACUGUCCAUUCCAACUCAAGAUGUAAUGGCGUGCUUGAAUGCAACUUUUUCUGGGGAGAAGAAAGGACAAGUCUUCGGGUUACUUCAGCAUAGAAGAGAACAUGGUGUACUGGUUGAAAUCUACACUGGUAACACAAUAACUUCUCAGUAGACCCUUAUGAUCAUCAGCAAGGAGUCCUUCAUAAGAAAUCGUACUCUGUUAUUUAUCCUGUUUGUUGGAGCAAUGAUUCAACUACCACAGUGAUGACUGCAGGCAUCACAACACUUGUUAGCUACCAUAGUUUCCAGUAAGCACAAAUGAAGAGGAGUUCUGCUUUGUUCUCCAAACACAGGAAGAAACCUUGCAACUGAUGUAAAAUUUUCACUUCUGUCUUUCUCUUUUCAGCCAUGUCAAAUACUAGUCCAGCUACUAUUUUCAGCACAACACAUCACAUGUUUACACCACAGGUUUUUGGGGAUUUUUUUUUAGCUAAAAUGAAUCUAGAUGUGAUAGAGCUAUGCUGGGAAGUCUCUUGUUCAUUUGUACUUGUGAAUACUGAGGAAUAACUGCAUCUCUAUGAACAGUUCCUUUAUCUUCUCUGUACAAGGUGGCGUUUCAUACUGUUUCUAGUUUCACCAGGAGAAAAAUCCAAACAGCUGAAAUUUGCCAUACUUACAUAUCUUUGGUUAAUAUUUGUAUAAAAAUCCAGCUAACAUAAUUAAAUCAUUUGACAUAUAACUUUUAUGGUGUCCUCCUUAACUUGCAUUACAUCUCCCUGUGGGAAACAUAAAGCAAUUUUUCAUUUAAUAGCUGGCACCAAUUAACAAUCUUUCCUGCUGCAUGGGGCUGUAAUGUGCAAGAUUUUGCUUGUAAGAAUACUUAUUAUUGCUGACAUAUAUGCAGUGAUCAUCACUA